GGGGGUGAUUUAGAUUCGACGCCGGUAGGGUGGGUUGGAGAAGCGAGCCGAGGUUCCGCCCCUCGUUAAACAGCGGAACGGCCAAUAAGUGCCAACGAAGAGCUCGCUCUGGCUGCUUAAUCGCUAGCGGCCAAGCCGCGUGAGCCCCUGCCUGCGGGGCGGGCGCGGUUUCAUGCAGCAGGCUGGCCGCCUGCCCGGCCCGCGGGGCGGGCGGUGAGAUCCAAGCGGGCUGGCCCGUCCCGGACCCUGCCCCUGGGGGACGGGAGGGCGAGACCCAUCCAGGGGCUACGCUCGUAGAGGCUCCGGCUGGCCCGCCGGCGGACCGGGGUGCAAAUCCCCGCACCUCCACCG
This 351-nucleotide transfer-messenger RNA is filed under the name Thermaerobacter subterraneus. RNAcentral describes it as "Standard tmRNA". It matches the Rfam family "transfer-messenger RNA". Rfam says of the family: Bacterial tmRNA, also known as 10Sa RNA or SsrA, is named for its dual tRNA and mRNA-like properties. Its role is to liberate the mRNA from a stalled ribosome. To accomplish this part of the tmRNA is used as a reading frame that ends in a translation stop signal. The record is from RNAcentral. Lineage: Bacteria; Bacillati; Bacillota; Clostridia; Eubacteriales; Clostridiales Family XVII. Incertae Sedis. RNAcentral also lists the same sequence under 2 other names.